Molecule: long non-coding RNA, 144 nt
Organism: Sander lucioperca (pikeperch)
Lineage: Eukaryota; Metazoa; Chordata; Actinopteri; Perciformes; Percidae
Exons: 3
Source: RefSeq, a predicted model, not a curated record
UGUAGGCCUAACUCCAUUUAAUCUUCAUGCUACAUUGACAAGCCAAUAAACUUUCAUUGCUCACUUUUACGGACAAUGAAAUGUACAACUGUUAAUCUCUGCAAAUAAAGAGUAACUCAAUGAAUGGUGUUAAUAUAGCCCAAC